UGGGGAAUAUUGGACAAUGGGCGCAAGCCUGAUCCAGCCAUGCCGCGUGAGUGAUGAAGGCCCUAGGGUUGUAAAGCUCUUUCCCCGGUGAAGAUAAUGACGGUAACCGGAGAAGAAGCCCCGGCUAACUUCGUGCCAGCAGCCGCGGUAAUACGAAGGGGGCUAGCGUUGUUCGGAUUUACUGGGCGUAAAGCGCACGUAGGCGGACUUUUAAGUCAGGGGUGAAAUCCCGGGGCUCAACCCCGGAACUGCCUUUGAUACUGGAAGUCUUGAGUAUGGUAGAGGUGAGUGGAAUUCCGAGUGGAGAGGUGAAAUUCGUAGAUAUUCGGAGGAACACCAGUGGCGAAGGCGGCUCACUGGACCAUUACUGACGCUGAGGUGCGAAAGCGUGGGGAGCAAACAGG
RNAcentral lists this ribosomal RNA (404 nucleotides) under Actinomycetes bacterium. RNAcentral's name for it is "Actinobacteria bacterium partial 16S ribosomal RNA". It matches the Rfam family "Bacterial small subunit ribosomal RNA", at positions 355 to 776 of the family's 1533-position model. The record is from RNAcentral. Lineage: Bacteria; Bacillati; Actinomycetota; Actinomycetes.